Molecule: non-coding RNA, 98 nt
Organism: Malassezia japonica
Lineage: Eukaryota; Fungi; Basidiomycota; Malasseziomycetes; Malasseziales; Malasseziaceae
Source: the annotation of a RefSeq genome assembly
GGUCUGCUGGCGCAAUGGUAGCGUAUCAGCCUUCUACUGCACUACAUCCAGUACGAGGGGUUAGCUGAGGGUUGCGGGUUCGAGCCCCGCGUAGACCU